AGUGCCAGCAAUUGCGGUUAAACUAAUUAUAAGAAUGAAUUUUAUUUAAUUUGAUAUGAGUUAAUAAAAAUAUAUUAAUUGUUGUGAUCAUAAUUGAAAUUUUUUAGUGAAAUAUAAAUUUUAAUUAUAAGUUAUUAUUAUUAUUUGAUGAGUUAUAUAUAAAGUAUAGUAAUCUUUAUAAUAAAUUAGGAUUAGAUACCCUAUUAUUAGAGAAUAAAAAGUUAAUAGAUUGAAGUAUUAAAUGAGAAUCAUUAAAUUUAUAUAAUUUGGCGGUAUUUUUUUAUUAGAGGAACUUGUUUAUUAAAUGAUAAUCCACGAGUAGAUUUACCUAAUUUAAAUAUUUUUAUGUAUUGUUGUUUAGAAUUUAUCAUUAUAGUGAGAAUAUUUUAGAAUUUUAAUUAAAGUGUAAUUCAAAUCAAAAUGUAGAAUAAUUAGGGUUAGAUGAGUUACAGUUUAAUUGUAUAAUUGGAUCUUUUAUAUUAAUAUAAAAGUGAAAUUGGAUUUAAUAGUAAAUUUAUUUAAAUAAAUAAAUUGAAAAGUAAAAAAAAUGUGUACAAAUUGCCCGUCAUUUUCAUUUUGAAAUGAAAAAAGUCGUAACAUAGUAAAUGUACUGGAAAGUGUAUUUA
RNAcentral lists this ribosomal RNA (626 nucleotides) under Linepithema humile (Argentine ant). RNAcentral describes it as "12S ribosomal RNA". Lineage: Eukaryota; Metazoa; Arthropoda; Insecta; Hymenoptera; Formicidae. The record is from RNAcentral.